GUUGAGUGGGUAAGCAUAUCUUCUGCAUAUAUGUUAACCUGUUGAGGUAUCUGAAUGGUUCUUAAAAGUGUCCUGCUUUGUCUUUUACUGUCACUAGAUGACCUGUUGCGCCCAUGGCGCAAAGGCCGAGAGCAAGUCAAUUAUUGAAAGAAUGUGCAUCAAAAUAUGUAGACACAUAAGAAAACAUAUGGAAAUAAGUACUGAUUGAUGAUAGAUAGAUGGUUGCUGAUGGUACAUGUUUUCUAAAAGGCUUACGAACUAUCAUUUACAAUGUUAUGAGCAAGGCAUGUAGAUAGGCAGAGCUACAUUAGACAAAUGUAUCAUGGGAUGUUUAGAACGAUUUCUUCGAGGCAAGUCUUCAUAGCUGCUGUUCUUCAUGGCCCGAGGUGCACAUAUGCCUCACAUCCGAUGCAAAUAUGGCGCUGCGUGCCCAUCAUGCGAGGCAGCGGGCGCGGGACACCACGACGGAUCCGUCGUCGAUCUCACGUCCAUCGGCAACAGGCAGACUCCACGCUUUGACAAGAGUAGUUCAUGGGAUAUGUCAGCGCCUCAAGUCCUGUGAGCUGUUGUGUGUCCCAUGUCCUACUCUACCUCGCCGUUUACCGCACUUCCACUCCGAGGGGCACAACCAACCGUCGGACAUGGACACUGCCGAAACAUUAAGGACGGUCACCGGUGGAAAUUUAGAUUAGUUUUAUGUUACGUGUAAUCGUAUGAAUUUGAUGAUUUGCAAAUGGGAUAUCCGAUUGCGGAAACAAUUUUUUGUUUGUUCACUAUCUGCAAACACAUCUGGACACAUCCGCAUGUUUGGGAAAGGAUUUUGAUACUUGUGGUUGUAGAUGCUUUUAUAUUAAGAUAAGUGGGAAUAAAUCUGACGAAACAAUACAGAUUAUACCAAUUACAAGUACAAGGUAGCAUCAAAGAUAAUAUUACAACCGUGCCAUUGUGACAAAGAGCCACACACUCUAGAGUCUGGACACCUAUACACACGGGUUGCACAUACGACAUAUAAUGCCAGAGAUAACCAUGUGGUGGAUUGUUGUCCUUUUCCAUCGACCAGUUCAUCCUCUUCCUCUCCCCACUGUACUCGAGAAAGCACCUACUAGAGGCGGCUCACGCUGGGCUCCAUCUUCGCGGCGGAUCACACUGCAGCUUGGCGAGCGAGUGGCUCCGGCUGCAGCUCAGAGGCGCUGCGCUCCAACUGCAGCUCGGAGGCGCAGCAGCUCCAACUGCAUCUCGGUGGUCCGGCAGCUCCAACUGCAUCUCGGUGGUCCGGCAGCUCCCGCUAUAGCUUGAAGUUGCGGAAUCGGCAGAUGGUGCCGCUGUCACUCGUAUCGGCGAGCCAAAUCCUCAUAGUUGUUGUUGUCGCUCCCUGCCGAAGGUGGCAUUUGUUCUGGCUGUGUGGCAGCCUGGCACUCCCUGAAGCUAGUUACUUUCCACGGCAAGGGAGGCUCCAGCAAGCCCACAGCGGUCGCCGUUGCUGCUCAGGUAAAAACUAACCUCCUUCGGUGUUUGAUGAAUCUGUAAAAAUUUUGUGAUUCAAUUCCACUGUAGCACAAGGGGCACCAUGAUCUACUAUUUUGCUGAGAGUAGUGGCAUGGCAAAGUACAUCUUCGUUUUCUGAAAAAUAGAACAAGAUGCAGGGACUGAUCACUCGUAGAAGUAAACUCCAAAAGGAGAAGCUUAUAACUUCACUAAAUAACUAUACCAGGAGCAACAUUACUAAUUACAUCCUCAUGGUUUCGUCAUUUACAACAGGCCCAGUUGGAAAAUGGCCUGUCAGACCAUUGACGUUGCUGAUGUGGUGCAUCGGCCCACAUCAGUGAACCAUCGUCAGAGUUGAACUUAUUGAUGGACAAUGACGGAAUGCAUCCCCUGAAUGAAGUGAGCAUUUUCCUGUUUGUUUAUCUAGCCUCUCAUUCUUACCUUAGACAUACAAAUGAAAAAAGAGGUACUCCCUCUGUCCGAAAAAGUUUGUCCCAAGCUUGUCUCUCAAAUGGAUGUAUCUAGCACUAAUUUGAUGCUAGAUACAUUCAUUUAAGGGACAAGCUUUUUCGGACAGAGGGAGUAUGGGAGAAAGAGGGUGGAGACUAAACAAAGAUAAACCAAGAUACCGAAUUAAUACAGAGUGAUCAUGUAAAUAGAAAACGAAAUGUGAAUAAAGAGAACCCAAAGACUCGUAAAACAGAGAGUAAGAACGAACAACGAGGACCUAGCACUACUAUGUUAAUAGGCAAGUUUCAAGAGUAGUGUUGAUACUUAGAUGAGUGAUGCAACGUUGGAGUACUAAUUAGUGGCUGGGACUGCUCCAACCAUCGAGCGGGGUAUAUUGUAUAUAAUACGUAGUUGAGUGAUCGCCUUUAGAUGUUUCAGAUGCUGAAGAGUAUUUUCCAAUGAACAUAUAUAUUAUGCUAUGCAUCCUGACAUAUGCACUUCCUUGGAAUUGUUGAUAUGUAUGUAUCAUUGCUAGCAGCCGUCGUUGGCCUACUUGGAGAACAAAUAAGCAUUUUAACAUAAGGGCAUCACAAAAAAAUCAGAAUACAAAAACUAUGUUAGGUCUGCAGUUUUUUUCAUGCAUCAUCUGAGUUUAGUGUACUUUUUGUGCAGCAGCAACCAGAAGCCAAAAGAACCCAAUACUGUACAAUCUAAAAUAAAAACAUGUCCACAAGCCUAAUAACAUUGAAAGUCUGAGUCCUACUACAACAGUUCAAACAAUCAAUAGUCAGAAGAGGCUAAUUAAGGUACUGGUAUAAGGUACUUAACUGGGUAUACAUAAUAUCUAGGAUCAAAAAAUUUAGAUAAGAUGCCAAGGGUUCUUCACUCUAUAAAUGGUACUCACCUGAACACUAAAGCCAUGGUUGUCAUUGCAUAGCUCUAGACUAAAUAAUAAGGGCAAUACCAAAAGAUUUAUGCAUUAGUGCAUGAACUAAGAUAAAAUAAAAUGAGCCUACAAUGAUGGUGUUACUUUCUUGCGCAAGCACCAAAACUUUGCCAAAAAGUAAAAUAUACUGGGAGCAUUCUACCUUUAUUUUCCCUAUAUAAUCCUUGCCCUUGCUUCUAGAUUAUAUGAUGGCGGUGCAAGCUAGCCAACAUCUUCAGAUUAGUCCAUCCAAAAAGCACCCCAAAGGUAACAGUUGGAUUGAUUGUGUCAUUCUUGAAACGCCAUUAUCAGAAAUUCAGUUGGUGCUUAAUAGUAAAUAGAAGUGCAGGACAUGCUCAUCACGCUUACCUAGGACUCAUAGGCCUUAUCUAAUCCCUCGCCAAAGCAAAUCAUCUAUUCUAUGUGAAAUAGGCAAGAGGUACGCAAAAAAUGCUAUAUACCAAAGAGUAUACGUCAAUCUAAACUGACGUACUGCUCACAAGAAACAGAGUAUGAUAACACGUUACUGCUCACUCUAAAAAUAAAAUAAGUUGUUGGAAAGGAGGGGGGGCUAUUUUAUUUAUACAGUUUAGUUUUGUGAUUUAGUGCAAAUAAGAACAUGUCCAAACCUGAUAGGCACGGCACCAAAGAGUAUACGUCAAUCUAAACUGACGUACUGCUCACAACAAACAGAGUAUGCUAACAUGUCGUUGCUCACUCUAAAAAAUAAAAUAAGUUGUUGGAAGGGGGGAGGGGGCUAUUUUAUUUAUACAGUUUAGUUUGUGAUUUAGUAGUAGUACAAAUAAGAACAUGUCCAAACCUGGUAGGCACGGCAAUCUCAAAUCCAUGGGGUCAGUUUGGUUAGAUCACGAUGAGCAGAAAUGAAACACACCAUAUACAUUUUCCAUGCAUCAACAUACGUUUUCAGUUUAAUCAACACAUGUGCUAUUCUCUGAAUAUGAAAAUCACACGGCCAAUUUCUAAUAGUACCCUACUUUUUUCUGUGGCUCCUGUGAUUUUUGAGAGUGCAAACCGAUGAGAUUAGCUUAACGAAAUUGUCUCAGAAUCCCAUAGAGACUACAGCAGCAGCAAGAAAGCAUUAUGGUUUUCCCUAAAAAAAUAAAGCAUCAUGGUUAAACUUAUGCAGCUAUCAACGCCUGUUUUAAAGAAACAGAAGAAACUUAAAUUAACUACAGUCUCUCACAAUUCCAUUAAUUAGAGACUACAACAGCGGCAAGAAAGCAUCGUGGUUUAGGUUUUGCAACUACCAAAAUGUGAGCUCAUGCGAACAAAAGAUGGUAAAUUAUUCAGCCUAGCAUCAUGGUUCAGCAUACAAAAUUACCAAAAUGUCAUCUUCAGCCAUGUCUUAUAGUUUCAGGAAAAAGAAUUACGAGAAAGUUCACCCAUUAAUGUGACUCAGAUUCAACCUACCACAAGGUUAGAGCAGUUAAUUGUCGUCCGCGUUGGCUUCGUUUGCUCGAUCAUUUCGCUCUGCAGCAUUGGCUCUUUAUCUAGUUUCCUCUGUUUUGCUCCAGGCUGCCUUUUUGCUUCUGAAGAUUGCAGGAAGGGCUAAGUGCAAUUGAAUAAAGCUGAAUAUAUUUCUAUAACGAUUUUUUCUAAAUACAAAAGCUACCCACUACAUACAAAGGAAUCCCAAAUUCAUGCAAUCCCUCGUACAUAAGGACAUAGAGAUAGAGAAUCACUAAAAAUCAAUUGAUUUAACAACUUCUAUUUAUUUAUACUCCCAUUUUAUAAAUUCCAUUGUUGUUAACAACAUCUAUUUAUGUAUGCUCCCAGAUUCUCACCAACAAUCUAAAGCAUUGAGCCACUGCACCAUUCACUUGCAUUGCCACAUAGAUUAUUUAUUCAUGCAACAUCUAAACUUAAAGAACAUCAGACUUUAAAAGAAUUGAGGAGACAAGUAGACAACAGCACAGACCAUCCAAUGCAGUCCUCAGGGGCUCUACCAACUCUGGGAACUCAAUCUCAUCAAGCGCUUUGAAGACGUCUUCGGCGUUGCUUGUCUGCAUCUUUCCUUCCUUGCACACAUCAUCUGACCUGCAAAUAAGAUCACACUCAUGUUACUAUCAUCAUCCAAAAAGCAUCACAUCACAAGUAUAAGCAUAAUAUUAUUUAUACUCUCAGGCGGCCCUCCCCUCUACCAAACAGCAGAGCAAUUAGCUAAAAAUCUCAACUAUGCAAAUCCUAAACCAGCAGUGCUAACUAUAAACCCCCAAACAUUUCAUAUAAGCAUCAUAUUUCAAUACCUCUGUAACCUCUGCGCCGUGAAGAAUGAAAACUGCAGAAGCCUGAAGCUUUUCUUCAGAAAACUGAAAGUGUUAACACGCAUUCACUGAAAGUUUAGCUUCUCUUCAUUCUUCUGAAAAAUCAAUUAUUAGUGGCGAAGCUACUCUUCUCCAUUAACCACUCCGUGUUAGCUGCUGCUACAGAUAUGAACAAGUUCUUCCUUAGGGGAAAACAGUAUAUAUAAUAUUGUGCUGACCGUUUGUGAUGAUUCCGGUAUAUACAGUAGUUAAUGGAUUUUGCCCUCAAGUUUGUUUCUCUCUUUUGCCGCUCUGCUUUAGUUGGGCGCGGCACGCGCUCGAGUGUUCCCCUGUCCAUAUUUUUGUGGCACCGCUUGUGGUUGGUGCUUCAGCCUCAAUCUUUUUCUUUUGUGUCUAAAACACGAAUGACUUUUAUCGGCUAAAAUGCCACAUUGUGCAAGCCAUACCACUCUUGCUUAUAAUUAAUUUCAGAGGCAUUUGGCAAUGGCAUUUUGAUGGCAGUGAUGUCAGGUGUUCCAGCCACAGCCGACAGAGUACUACAAAGAAAAAAUUCAAAUCCAUAACAAGAACUCAUUAUUUUAAAAUAAACUCAGGGAGAAACUGGAUGUGGCUAGAGGAGGUGCCUCACCUUGAACUGGUGAUCAGAUCGCCGCCGCCAAGCGGGCUUGUCCGUGGAGGAGGCCCAGGCCUCUUAUGAUGCCAUCGCCAAAUCCAGGCGUUGUCCUCGUCCUCGCUUGUCUGUGAUGCGGCCAACGGCGACCCUCCACUCCAUGGCAACGCGAGCGGCAACGAGAGCUUCGAUCUGGCUGCUUUUUUCCCACGUUGUCAUCCUCCUCACCUCUUCCCGCUCCUCCACACCCAUGCUGAAAACCUCAACGCCGCACUCUCCCAUGAAGGCAACCAGCGGCCCAUCCAUAACCACUGUGUGUGCCAGCGCCGGAUCGAGAGGAGGAUAAAAGCGAAGGGGAAGCAAGGGGCGUGGUGGUGGUGGAGGCCGGAGGGCAGGGAGAGGCGGCGGCGACGAAGCUAAAGGGGAGGGGAGGGAAUGUGGGGCUCGAGGACGGGCUGGGAUUGGGGAUUAGGUUUUCACCGCGCGGCCCGCACAUCCCAUAAUUCAGCUACGUAAAACCAGAGUAAAUUCACAUCAUUCUCUGGACCCACACUUAACGAGGCCCAUCAGUCAUCCACCUCUGAAACGAGCACAAAGGUGCAAAAGAAUUGACGGUCCAGCGAUCGCCAGCAGCAAAAAUCGUACGAGAGUAACAAGAUCGAACGGCUCACGCGGUGAAAAUCACUCAGGGGCGCUAGAAUGGCGGGUAACAUAGCUGGGUUUAUAUGUUCAAUUUCUCAAGUACCAAAUUGCAAGAGAGGGCUCUUAAGAUUUUCUCUACAACUAUGCCUGCACAGAGAUUAGAAUUCUUUCAUGCAGGUAGUAGCAAAUGAACUACUAACCCUCUGCUGUGCUUCUGCAAGAUAUUUCUGCUUGUUUUUACUCGUUGCUGCAUUACCUUUAACUUCUGUUUCUGAGGCCAUAAUUCUGUCAUGUCCUAGUUUGAUUUGAAUGUUGUCCGGUUUACACAAGUGAUUUAUACCAACAAUACCGGAGCAUCUGGUUUCAACCUUUUCUUAUAUGGACUUAUAGAAUUGCCAUUUCAUGUUGCUGCUUAUAGAGGAGUUUUAUCGAUGACCAUUCUAGUUUUAGUCUGUUUCGUUAAACAUUUUCUCAGCAUGUCACUUGGUGUCUGCCAAACUUGCGUAAACAUGUAACUGGCCAUUAGCUACUAGUAUUAUAAUUUGGCAGCUUUAAACUAUACCACUAUAGGUAGUACGCUUUGUGUGGAGUAUUUUGUUUUCAAUUUUGGCCACUACUGAUGUUUAAUAAUUAAUACUUCGAGUAUUGUGAGUACUUCAUAAGAAACACAUGAUCAAAAUAAAAUGACUAGAUUCACCAAAAAACUGCCUUUUAUCAAUAAUGCCUUUUUUUACUAGCAUGUUAUCAUUGAAAUAGUGGUGAAAGUAUUGAUUGAUACUGUAUAGUGUAAAAAAGAAGUCAUUUGGAUCGAAAGAAGUUUCUUGUAUGGUAAAAAGAAGGCUUGUACUGCAGGAAUUUGAUGAAAUUUGAUAUGUUAGUAACCAGACGGCUAUGCCUAUGAGCUAGAAACCAGGAAUUUGAGCCUCUACGCAGACCAAAUGUAGCCAAAAACUCAUAAUGUUAUAAAUGUUAGUUCUGUCUAAUAAUGCCGAGAUGCUUCAACUUUGGAGUUUUUUGACAGUUUCCACAAUUCUGUAGCUCAUAUUUUCUUUUUCUGUCAUUGAAAAUUAUGAGAGCAACUCCAACAGCAUUUCCUGAUUGUUGACUGAUGAUAUUACUUGCUCUGCAGGAAUCUACAGUUACAUUCUGUUGGCUGAGAUGCAGAAAUGGGUUGUCAAGUGUAGUUUAUUCCACCUUUAUGCUCGGCGCUGAGAUUGAACCCAUAUGUAGCAUGCACACUCUUCAGCUCUGAAGUGAACAUGUAGGAAUCCGUCGCUUGAUUUGCUAAUUUCCGUAGACAUUCAUCGACUGGCAUGAAGGUGCAUUGGCCUGCUUCGAUUAACUAGUACCUUGUGGUUCGCUUAAUUUGCCUUGUGAGGCAAGCAUGUUGUCGUGAGCUUAACUAUCAACUGAUCUUGCUU
Molecule: long non-coding RNA, 7818 nt
Filed under: Triticum aestivum (bread wheat)
Lineage: Eukaryota; Viridiplantae; Streptophyta; Magnoliopsida; Poales; Poaceae
Description: long non-coding RNA (TAES_LNC018710)
Rfam family: MIR1120/MIR1122 microRNA precursor family (bases 1949-2074)
Source: RNAcentral